Molecule: RNase P RNA, 343 nt
Filed under: chicken gut metagenome
Description: Bacterial RNase P class B
Rfam family: Bacterial RNase P class B
About the family: Ribonuclease P (RNase P) is a ubiquitous endoribonuclease, found in archaea, bacteria and eukarya as well as chloroplasts and mitochondria.
Source: RNAcentral
UUUUGGCAAACGCUGCAUUCUUAGUAAUGUAGAGGAAAGUCCAUACUUGCACGAUCCUGAGAUGGUCGUAGUGUUUGUGCAUAGGGAAAAAAUAACCUAUGGUAGUUUUAACUAACGGCGAAGUGUAAGCCUAAGUCUUUUAGAUAUGGCAAUGCUUUGUAAAGUGCCGCAGUGACGAUGCUUUUAGAAAUAAAAGAGUGAAACGUGGUAAACCCCGCAAGCAAGAAACCCAAAUUUUGGUAGGGGAACCCGAUAGGUGAGAAUAGUGGAAUUGCCUAUGGGACUAGGUAACUAGUAGAUAAAUGUUUGCCUUCUAGAAAUAGAAACAGAAUAUGGCUUAUAA